ACUAGAAUUUCCUGGUGAUUUGG
This 23-nucleotide non-coding RNA is filed under the name Cricetulus griseus (Chinese hamster). The record is from RNAcentral. Lineage: Eukaryota; Metazoa; Chordata; Mammalia; Rodentia; Cricetidae.